This is a long non-coding RNA of Dendronephthya gigantea, 191 nucleotides long. RefSeq lists it as uncharacterized. NCBI's taxonomy places the organism in Eukaryota, Metazoa, Cnidaria, Anthozoa, Malacalcyonacea, Nephtheidae. The transcript is spliced from 3 exons. The record is from RefSeq and is a predicted model, not a curated record.
AAUGAAGUCUUAAUGAAACGUCAGGAGUUGCAAAAUCAAAAGUUAGAAGAGCUCACAGCAUUCUACUGUCAAUGAUAGCCGAAGAAAGUUGAGUGAAUUACGGGAAAAGACGCAAGAAGAAAUCAACUCCCUCGCUUCUCAGCUGCAGGGUGUGCGAAAUGAAAAUAACAAUCUGUCGAUGCAAUUAGCAG